This 862-nucleotide long non-coding RNA is filed under the name Anser brachyrhynchus (Pink-footed goose). Its description in RNAcentral is "lncRNA (ENSABRG00000021789.1)". Lineage: Eukaryota; Metazoa; Chordata; Aves; Anseriformes; Anatidae. The record is from RNAcentral.
GGUUGGCGCGCGCCGGGGAAACGACCGUUAGCGUCGCCAUGGCGGCGGGGCGGCGGUUGACGGGCGGCGGUUGGAGGGCCCGGCGUGAGGCACCGCGGGGACGGCGCUGCCGAGGGGUGCGAGCCCGGCACGGCCCGGUUUGUCUGCCCCCACGAUGCAGAUCAGAUGUCGGUCGGGCUGGAUGUGUUCUUCUAAAUGGUGUAAUCCUACAACUCGGCGUGAGAAAAACCCGGAUUUGCCACGCUGCUGUGGUUUAACCCUGGUGUCAGUAAUUUCUAAAGCGAAGGAAACUGAAGUUUAUUGCUUUGGGAGAACACCUUGCAUUUGCAAGUUCGUGGACCACAAGUGGAGAUACUUUUUCAUUUGUUCUAAGGGAAGUUUCCUCCGGCCGUAUAACCUGCCUCAUGGUAACAUGGUCAAUGAAACAGCAACACACAGUGGUACGGGAGCCAUCCAGUGGACUACUGUGAAACACACAGCCAAGACAAAUUAGAAACCAUCUUGGAGGUUUUUCUGCCUUUUUGAUUUCAAGAUGUUGGGUUUUGUCCCUUUUGUUCAAAACCUGCUUGUACUAUUAAAUGCCAAAUUCCUUUACUUCUUGCAUUCAUUUUGAAGAACUAAUUUUCCCAAAGAUGUGAAAUGUCUUUAGUUUAAGAUAGUCGUAAUAGCUUAAGUUAUGGAGCUGCAUUUUUUACAAUACUCGUACAACUAGAUUGUGAACACUGGGCUCCAUUUUUUUCAGUUUACACAAAGGAAAUGGAAAUGUACAGUAUGAAAAUGAAUGAUCGUGAAAGAUGCUCAUUUAUCGCCUUGAUUUCUGUUUUGAAAUAAAGUUUAGUCGUAAUGUAUUUUGUUUUAAAUG